Long non-coding RNA from Pseudophryne corroboree (corroboree frog), 873 nucleotides. RefSeq lists it as uncharacterized. The transcript is spliced from 3 exons. NCBI's taxonomy places the organism in Eukaryota, Metazoa, Chordata, Amphibia, Anura, Myobatrachidae. The record is from RefSeq and is a predicted model, not a curated record.
UAAAAGGUCAAGCAGGCUCCAAGAUUUGAUUUGACACCUGUAUUCUAUAUUAUUUUUUCCCCAGUCCUGCUGUAUACACAAUAACCUGCAGCCCUAUGUCUCCCUGCAGAGUACAAGCUUGUGUCGCAGAGACCAUCAUCUGAAUCACAGCGACAAAGAAUGGGCAGAUCCUGGUGUUUUCAGUGAUAGAACACGGAGAGGUCUCCAAAUGAAUAGUCCUUCUUCGGUGCUGAGGAGCACAAAUCCCAUCAAUUGGAGGGCUGUUAAUGGCAGAGCUUGGGCCAUGGUGGGGUAAGGCUGAAAUUGGCCAAAAUCCAGCCCAGCGACGGAAGAAAAAACGGCAACAACUUGGUGGGAGGAAUUGGUUGGACUGUUUUCCGCCUGCAGCAUACACCCUUGCCCUCACUGCACAAGACAGAGAUUGGACAGUAAGCAUUGAAACGCUGAAAAGGUAUAAAACUAGUAUUUGCUGAUUAUUCCCGAGUGCCGCUGCCUAGAGUUUAUAUAAAUAAAUAUAUAUAUAUAUAUAUAUAUAUAUAUAUAUACAUCAAACAACGUCCCGGCACUCAGGUGGACCAUGUAGUUACUUGCUGGGGUGCCCUCCUGGUGACUGCAUGUCACUCUAUAUACAGCAGCUGUUUGGCCCUGAGGACAGGGUUCAUCCCCGAAACAUGUCGGCUUGAAUGGUUAACACUGCAUUAAGUAUCCUGUCCAAGUCUGAUGGCUGAUGAGUGCCGCCGCCAUCCACCGUAUAUAAAUAUAUAUAUAUAUUAUAUCUGUUUGCAGCCUUGACGGCCCCAACUGUUUACUUGCCCUUUUUACGUCAAUAAAAUACAGAUUGUACUAUAAAUAAAUAAAUAAAUAUAUAUAUAU